CAUAGGAGGUUGCACACUCUCAAC
This 24-nucleotide non-coding RNA is filed under the name Arabidopsis thaliana (thale cress). Lineage: Eukaryota; Viridiplantae; Streptophyta; Magnoliopsida; Brassicales; Brassicaceae. The record is from RNAcentral.